UACGGGGGGGGGCAAGCGUUGUUCGGAAUUACUGGGCGUAAAGGGUGCGUAGGCGGCUUUCUAAGUUGGAUGUGAAAACUAUGGGCUCAACCCAUAGCCUGCAUCCAAAACUGGAGAGCUUGGGUUCUGGAGGGGAAAGCGGAAUUCCUGGUGUAGCGGUGAAAUGCGUAGAUAUCAGGAGGAACACCGGUGGCGAAGGCGGCUUUCCGGACAGAUACCGACGCUGAGGCACGAAAGCUAGGGGAGCAAACAGG
This 254-nucleotide ribosomal RNA is filed under the name uncultured bacterium. Its description in RNAcentral is "partial 16S ribosomal RNA". It matches the Rfam family "Bacterial small subunit ribosomal RNA", at positions 524 to 776 of the family's 1533-position model. The record is from RNAcentral.